RNAcentral lists this long non-coding RNA (4899 nucleotides) under Sarcophilus harrisii (Tasmanian devil). RNAcentral's name for it is "lncRNA (ENSSHAG00000024500.1)". The record is from RNAcentral. Lineage: Eukaryota; Metazoa; Chordata; Mammalia; Dasyuromorphia; Dasyuridae.
GGAUUAAUGGGCACGUUAGGAUAGAAAUGCUUCACCUCCGAGGUCCACUUUUCUCGGAUGUUUUCUAAACUAUCAGAUAUCUUUAUGGAAAAAUACUUAAGUAUAACAUCGAUAUCUGGGUAAGAGUGAGGGGAUUAUAAUCGGUUUGACCAGCUGUGUCUCACAAAGCCAAUUCCACCUAUUUUCCAUGCAUUUCAAUAUCUGAGACGUGAUUUUCAAACACUGUGGGCAAAUAAACUUCAGGGACUUGGUCUUUGCUAAAUACAAUUAAUAAGCAUGUGUGACCACAAGCACCAUCACACACUGUAACCAACUUUUGCUAGAUGGUGGACGUAACUCAAGUGGUUCUGGAGUCCCUCCGCCCCGGACAAGGUGCUCUGCAAACUGCGACCCAGGCAGUUUCCACGCUAGAAAUCAGCCGGCAGGUGGGGAGUGGAAGUGCGGAUGGGCAGCUGUGCCCUUGGGCAGAUGUGCGGGGCGACUGGAGCCCUAUUUUAUUUCUUAAUAUCUCUCCUCUGGGUUUUAAGCUGUCAGUAUUGAUCCAUUUGGAAGGUUACAGAGCCUGGCACCUCUAACUCCUUCUUCUGGAACUUCAGCAAUGACAUAAUCUUUCCUAGCUCACUCUUUGAGAUUUAAACAGGAGAGCAUCUGUCAGUCUCAGCCUCUUAUCCUGCCAUAUUCUCCUUUUUUCCUUUUUAGAACUCUGAGGCUUACCAUUCCCAGUAUGCAGAUUUCAGAAGCUGCCAGGAAACUAUGCUGGACAGAAAAAUUAAUCAGAUACACUCAAGGAAUUGAAGGAAAGCAGCCACCCAUCUAGGUAACCACCCCCACAGAAAAGAAUGAUAUGCUCGUGAUCUUUUACCUUCAUUGGAUAUUGUAUUUGGUUUUAGUGAGUCUGGAUUUCUAUUUACUUUCCCUUCUCCAUCCCAGUUUACUAGCAUGAACUGACUCCCAGGGCAGGCACCUCCACCUACUUUCAUGAUACAAAUUUUUUUUUUUAAUCACUCUACAAUGAUUUCCUUAUUUAUUACUUUCCCUUCUCCACCACUUAGCACCGUAUCUAAAAAUAUAGUAAGAACUUUUAUUGAUUGAUUUAUUCAACCUUCCCAUUAACAAAGGAAAACAUUCAUGGCAUUGGGAAUCCCAGGAUCAAUUGAUUAAGAACUGGAAGAGACCUUAGAAGAAAGCAAACCAGUCAAAGCAAAACUAACGCACAGAGCAACCACAUCUGUGAGCACAUUCAACUGAAAGCCCUGUCUAAAGGCCAUUGCUAUGGGAGUCUCUACUUCUUAAUGGAGAUGAAUGGGAAGUUGUCUUGAGAAGCAAGAGAGCUCCAAUCUUUGCUGGUCUUCUGUCAUACUCAAGUUUUGAAUCCCCUUUGAAGACUCAAGUUGAAUCUUCUCAACUCAAUUUCUUCUCAGCUCUUUAAACAUUUGAAAGAUUCUAGCUUCCAGAUUCAAGAGAGAGGAUGGAAGAGAUCUAUCUCAUUUUUUGGAAGACGUAAGAGGAGCAGGUGGUCUCAGUCUCCCUCAUGCCCAACUUGUUCCUCUAAAGUUCAGGGAGUUUCUGCUUGGGUGAGAUGUAGGACACUCUGUUGAACUGAGUUACCUCACUCACUCCCAAUGGGAGAAUUCCUUCACUAUCUGGUAUAUAUUCUUCUAUGUAUACUUUCUCUGAUUUCUGUUUUUGCUAUGAUUGGGGAGGAAGGGGAUGGCUUUCUUUAUUUACUAUUGUGUGUUCAUUUAUAGAACCAGUAUUCGUGGAAAAGGGAUCCAGCUUUAAAUAUAGAGCUGAAGGUCCUCCGUCCCCUCAAAAUGACAAAAUGAUCAGAAGUUAGAUGGAGCCUGAACAUAUCCCCCAGACUAAGAAUAUUUAAGGGACAAGAUAGAUACAAUUCUAUCCUUGUUCUCUCUCUCUGUCUGUGUCUGCCUGUCUCUCUCUGUCUGUCUCUUUCUGUGUCGCUCCCUUUUUCUCUCUCCUUUUUUCUGUCUCUCCCCACCUUUUCUUUCCUUCCUUCCUUCCUUCCUUUCCUUCCUUCCUUCCUUCCUUCCUUCCUUCCUUCCUUCCUUCCUUCCCUCCUUCUUCCUUCCUUCCUUCCUUCCUUCCUUCCUUCCUUCCUUCCUUCCUUCCUUCCUUCCUUCCUUCCCUCCCUCCUUCCUUCUUACUCUUUAUCCUUUCUCCCUCUCCUUCCCUUUCUCUCUUUUUCUCUGUCUCUUUCUGGAGAGCAGAGAGGCAUCUGAUCUUAACCUCCUGCUUCUUCUCUUCACUAGAAUUAAAGUCUCCUUUAGUGUAUGGUAGGUGGAGGGUAGGAGAGAUGGGGUGUGGGAUGGAAGGGCUAGAGAUGCCUAUUCUGCCUCCCUUUGAGUCAUAUAAGGAUAUAAGGACAGCUCUUACCACAGGUAGGCCCCUCUCUAUAUAGGGGCCUCACUUUUUGUUAUCCAAUAUUUCACACCUCUUCUCUAACCUCCCCUCAACUAAGAAAAGAAAAGGAUUUCAUCUGCCUUUUAGUUGUUGAUAGUUUUUGUUUCUCCUUUGAAAAAUGGUUUAUAUCCUUUGCUCAGUUAUCUAAUGGGAAUGGACCUAGGUCUUAAAUAUUUGUAUGUAUUUAAAAAUUAAAAAAAAAUGACAUUUUUUUCAGCUUUAAUUAUUUCUAGAUAUGCAUCUCUCCAUGAAACAAGAAUUUAAACCCUCCUUGUGACAAAGAAAAGCAAAUAAACACAAAUAACUCCUCUGACAAUGCCUGAAGCAUUCUGCUGAGAAUUAUCUGUUCUUUGGGACCAUUAGUGGCUUUUCAAUUAUUCAGAGUUUGGCUUCCUUUUAAUGAUCUUUUCAUUUACAUGGUUCUAAUCAUUGUAUAUGUAUCAUUCUAGAGUGUGUGUAUUGUUCUUGUAAAAUGUGUAUAUUCAUGUAGUUGUCUAAAUGUGCUCACUGAGGAAUCAGGCAUAAACAUUGUGCCUGCCCCUCUCCAAGGAAACCUUUGAUUACCAAAUGGAGGGGAGCAGAAAAAGCUACAAGACAGGAUGAUGUGUUCUUCCCUGAAAAGGUGUGAUAAUAAUAAUAACAAUAGCUAACAUUUAUAUAGUUCUUACUAUGUACCAAGCACAUGGUCAUCUUUGAGAAUCUUUGACAUUUUUCAGAAUAUGAGAUGAAAUCUCAGAGAUAUUAAUAUAUUUUUUCUUAUUGAUUCAGAUCAUGUUUUCAUAUAGAUUGAAAUUAAUUUAUGCCUCCAAGGGCCCUUUAAAGGCUGAGUUGCUAGCUUUAUAGGGAAUUUUGUCAAGAGGCAGCAGAAAAGGAAGACUACCACAUAGUAGUGUUUGUUUUCUGAAAUGGAAUGGCUUUUGUGGGAAAAAAAAAGGGGGGGUUUCCUUCUUCCCCCACCCUAUUGGUUAGUGUAAGCAAUCCUUUUUCAAGCAAUUAGAGAGUGCAUUGAGAGACUCCAAGGCAUAGUUUCAGAAGCAGAGACACACAUACUCUUCAAACAGACUUGGAUAAUGAGAAGUGGUCAAUGAAGAGAUAGUGUUUAAGCAAAUCCAAGAGUGGGACCUCUGGCAGCAAAGAAAAGAGCCAGCUACGAAUUCAAAUGGGACUUUAGCCUGGCAAUUAAAAAUUGAACUGCAGAGGGGAUUUCUAGGAGCUGACUUAGCAGAAAUUCAGCCAGGAGAAAAAUUGCAUCCAAGUGGAAGCUUUUUUUUUUUUUUUUCCUAAUUUUAAUAGCUUUUUAUUUACAAGUAUGCAUGGGUAAUUUUACAGCAUUGACAAUUGCCAAACAAGGGGAUGCUUUGUUAAGACAGAAUGAGAAAGGAAAAAAAAGUACCUCAAAGCCCUGCAACUCAUAAAUUAAGCUGUCUUGGCAGCAUGGGAUUUACUGACAUUGCACUUGUUUUAAGUCCAUUCUUCCUACAGAUUCUGUGUGUAGUUGUAGGAGAAUGUCUUCUACAUUUAGUUAAGGGAAAUUUUCUUUAGCUAUUCUUAGUUUGCCAUCUUCAUAACUGUCUUUGCUAAGAGCUAAUUCUGUAUGUUGGCUGUUGAUUAUGGAGAAAGUAUAAUGGAGAUAGAUCUUGAGCGAUAGUUUUUAGAAGUACAGUCCCACAAAGGAUAUCCUAGAACUUGAGAUAGCCACUGUCCUCUACUGGGGAUCCAGUAUGAGACUCAGAGUGUGAAGUGGAAUGGGGGAGAGAAGAAAUAGACCUGAAGAUAAUAUUACAUAUAAAAUGGUGGAAUUGGACUAGAAUAUUUCUACGGUAUCUUAAUAAUUCUAAAUCUGAAAAUUUAGCCUCUUGUAUCUUACUCCAGAGCUACAUUUUCCAUUCUCCCCCCACCCCCAUUUAUAUAGUAACUCCUGAGAAGAAAUUAUUUGCUUUGUUUACUUAUAUUCACAUCUACUAUUAUUUUUAUUUACUUCCAUUUUGUUUACUUUCCCUAUCCUUAACAUUAAGGACAGAAGAUUUAGGGGGGUGAAGUAAUGGAUGAGGAAAACUGGAAAGAGAUGUUUUGCAUGAAAUCUGAGACCUCAAUUUAUCUUUUACUGGUGCAUUUCAGCCCUAACUCAGGGAGUGAAAAGAAUGCUUUUAAAUUAUUGAUAUCUUCUGGUUUUUUAUAUUAUUUAAUUAUUGAUAUCUUUUAUUUUUAUAUUAUCUUUAUUCUCCCAUUCCUUAGACAGAAAGUCAUCCAUUAUAACAAAUAAAGAGGGAAAAAAAGUAUCACAGUCAAACAAAUCAAUUCAUUUAUAUCAAUCAAGUCCAAAUUCUUCUUCUGCAAAAAAGGAUGGAGUUAUAUUUUUCAUGUCAAGCUUGGUUAUUAUCAUUACACUUCAUUUAGUCUUUAUUUUGUUGUUAUUCUUUUCAUUUAUAUUAUUGUAGUUGUAGAGACAUCUCCACUCCAAGUGGUCAUGUGGACUGG